Tachysurus fulvidraco (yellow catfish) is the source of this 1406-nucleotide long non-coding RNA. RefSeq lists it as uncharacterized. The record is from RefSeq and is a predicted model, not a curated record. The transcript is spliced from 2 exons. Lineage: Eukaryota; Metazoa; Chordata; Actinopteri; Siluriformes; Bagridae.
CCCAGGAAUUUUGUCAAGUAGCUGAAGGAUGUCACUGACAUCAGAUGGAGCUUGUAGAGUUUUUACUGUGAGAUCCAGAGUGGACUGUAACUCAGUGUCAUCUGGAGUGAACACACACUGAACACAGUCUAAACACAGUCUGAACACACACUGCUCCUCCAGGCUACUAGGGGAAUCAGGCUCUGCUGAGGAGGUUCUUGUUGGAGCAGGACACUGUUGUGACGUCUGUACAUCAUGACCACCUUCAUUAGGUCUAGUUUUCAGUUACACAAGAAAAAAAAAAACACUAAACAAACUUUACUGUAAGCAGAAAUGUGCAGAAAUGCUGAAAUCUAGUGGACGUCUGCAGGAAGCUCCAUAAACACACAUUACUCCAUAGAUCAUCUCACCAGAAGACCUCACACUGAAACUGUUCAGAGAAAUGAUGGAGAAAUAUAUAAUGACUAAGUCACUAACACGUGUGUGUGUGUGUGUGUGUGUGUGUGUGUGUGUGUGUGUGUGUGUGUGUGUGUGUGUGUGUGUGUGUGUGUGUGAUCUGCUUCCUCCUUUAAACAUGAUGUAUAUUUUCUUGUUGUGUUUUAAACUGUGUUUUGUGUUUGGUUUCUGUUGGAGAUUCCAGAAAAGAACAAAAGCUUCCUAAGAAUAUUUUUACUGAAGAAGAACAAACAUAAAACCUUCUUUUCCUACAGGAUAUGAUGUAAUCUUUACCCACAUGUCCCCUGUGACAGGAUCUAUCUUACCUCAAGUUAUUUCUGCUGCAUGUUGAAUCAAAGGGGAAACACACACUAAUGUUUCCAGACAUGUUUACACACACACACACACACACACACACACACACACACACACACACACACACAGAGACAGACUGUAAAACAUCACUGACAGUACUGAGGAUUCCUAGAGACUCUUCAGAAUAAUGCCAUCACACACUUCCCAGGUCUCAGGGGGAUUAGUGGUGUGUAAGAGGAGAAGGGAAGCAGAAGGUUUCUCCACAUCUUCUCUCCUCUUACCUCCUGUUUAGAUCUGAAUUAUAUACACAUCAUUUGUUCUUUUUUCUUCAAGGUGCUGACAAGCUUCUAAACAACAAACUACAGAUGACUCGUCAGAUUUAAACUACAGACGACUCUUUAUUCUGUUCAUCAAAUUCAUCUGUAGUUUUAUUUAAACAUCUGAACUGUUGAAGUCGUAUUUGAUUCAUUUCACUGCUGUGUGAAGGGAACAAACAUGUUUUCAUAAAAAAGAGAGAAACUUUUAAACACAUACAAAACUGUAACAGGGCCUCUGUCCUGUGGGGAAUAAGGAGGGAAUCAGUAGGACAGACAGACACACAGACAGACAGUGUGUGUGUGUGUGUGUGUGUGUGUGUGUGUGUGUGUGUGUGUGUGUGUGUGUGUGUGUGUGUGUGU